Molecule: RNase P RNA, 390 nt
Filed under: bacterium
Lineage: Bacteria
Description: partial RNase P RNA component class A
Rfam family: Bacterial RNase P class A
About the family: Ribonuclease P (RNase P) is a ubiquitous endoribonuclease, found in archaea, bacteria and eukarya as well as chloroplasts and mitochondria. Its best characterised activity is the generation of mature 5'-ends of tRNAs by cleaving the 5'-leader elements of precursor-tRNAs.
Source: RNAcentral
GUUCUUUGCCAGAUAGUCGCUCUGCUGUUUAUAUAGUGGAGAGGAAAGUCCGAACACCCGUUCCGCCGAAAAGCGGGACGAAAAGCGAUAGUGGCUAACGGCCACCCCCCUUUAUUUAUAGAGGGGCGGGACAGUGUCACAGAAACUAUACCGCGACAUCAUCAAUUUUGGUUUAAAGCCAAAAAAGUUGGUACGCAAGGGUGAAAAGAGGUGAGGUAAAAGCUCACAGCGUGCGUUGGCGACAGCGUGCGGUGAAAAACACCUAUCCGGUGCAACCUCGUAAUAGAGGGCUAGAACCCGCGAGCAAUCAAGGGUCCAGAUAGAUGACUAUCCCCGACAAUAGGCUAACGCCAAUUUGACGGGACAAAAUUCGGCUUAUAGGCAGAGAAC